Microplitis mediator is the source of this 451-nucleotide long non-coding RNA. RefSeq lists it as uncharacterized. Lineage: Eukaryota; Metazoa; Arthropoda; Insecta; Hymenoptera; Braconidae. The transcript is spliced from 3 exons. The record is from RefSeq and is a predicted model, not a curated record.
CAUACGAAUUCAUUAUCAGUCUGAUCCAACAUUUUAUUUCGUAACAAAAUUACUGAUAAUAAUCAGGAUAUAAAUCGGUCAUUUCUUUAGAGGUGAUAUUUACAAGCCAGUUGAUACUUUCAGUACUUCAAUCAAGCUCUGCCUUAAUUAUCAAUAAUUAUGAAGAUAAUUAUUUCAAAAUUUAUCUAUAUGAUGUCAUUGAUUGCACUGUUGUCAACUAGUGCAACUAAUGGAGAUAUUAUUCCUGGUCGUAUAAAGGUCAUGACAAUUCCCUUCCGCGGCUUGAUGCCUGAUAGAGCCAGAGCUUACGCAGAACUGAUAUUUUAAACAUGCAUCAGAAAACGAAAUAAUUAUUUUAUUCCUCAUAAAUUUAUAAAUCAAUUUUUAACCAAGCAAUAAUGAAUUGUGUUCUGUUAAUUAUCCGAGUUAAAUAAAUCUGACAAUCAUUAAA